Molecule: transfer RNA, 73 nt
Filed under: Mustela putorius furo (domestic ferret)
Lineage: Eukaryota; Metazoa; Chordata; Mammalia; Carnivora; Mustelidae
Rfam family: tRNA
About the family: Transfer RNA (tRNA) molecules are approximately 80 nucleotides in length. Their secondary structure includes four short double-helical elements and three loops (D, anti-codon, and T loops).
Source: Rfam by way of RNAcentral
ACCUGAGUGGCUCAGUUGGUAGAGCAUGCAACUCUUGAUUUCAGGGUUAUGAGUUCAAGCCCCAUAUUAAGCA